This 222-nucleotide unclassified non-coding RNA is filed under the name Hevea brasiliensis (rubber tree). Lineage: Eukaryota; Viridiplantae; Streptophyta; Magnoliopsida; Malpighiales; Euphorbiaceae. The record is from RNAcentral.
GCAUCGCUGUGUUCUUGUUCGAAACCUUCUUCCCUUAGCCAUUGCCUUGGACACGAAAAUUGACAGGAUCCACCGCCAAUCACUCCAACACUCUCCAGCGAACACGAGGAUAUCAGUAUCGUCUUUAGUAAAAGUCGAUAGACGGAGAUCUAUUUGGAUCAACCGCGAUUCUGCGAACCCACAAAGAAUUUCAAUAGAUUUGAGCUUUUCUAGAACCUGUUU